This 329-nucleotide unclassified non-coding RNA is filed under the name soil metagenome. Its description in RNAcentral is "partial contains 5.8S ribosomal RNA, internal transcribed spacer 2, and large subunit ribosomal RNA". The stretch from base 1 to 120 matches the Rfam family "5.8S ribosomal RNA", at positions 35 to 154 of the family's 154-position model. The record is from RNAcentral.
GAUGAAGAACGCAGCGAAAUGCGAUAAGUAAUGUGAAUUGCAGAAUUCAGUGAAUCAUCGAAUCUUUGAACGCACAUUGCGCCCCUUGGUAUUCCGAGGGGCAUGCCUGUUCGAGCGUCAUUAUAACCCCUCAAGCUCAGCUUGGUGUUGGGGCCUGCUGCACUGGCACCCCUUAAAAUCAGUGGCGGCGCCAUCUGGCUCUAAGCGUAGUAAUUCUUCUCGCUAUGGAGUCCUGGUGGAUGCUUGCCAUCAACCCCCAAUUUUUCUAUGGUUGACCUCGGAUCAGGUAGGGAUACCCGCUGAACUUAAGCAUAUCAAUAAGCGGAGGA